This 385-nucleotide unclassified non-coding RNA is filed under the name Hevea brasiliensis (rubber tree). Lineage: Eukaryota; Viridiplantae; Streptophyta; Magnoliopsida; Malpighiales; Euphorbiaceae. The record is from RNAcentral.
UGUAAGUACCAUGGGGAACAUGCCAAUACUAUUUUCCUCUUUAGGAACUUUAAGGAUACUAGUAAUAACAAAAAGAAUGUAACAUAAGAGAAUGGCAAAUUGUAAUUUAGUAAAGUUAAUAAAGUUAUUAUUGUCACACCAAGGGAAGAAUAAAACAUAACAUAACAUAACAGAAUGGUAAAGUUGCACUUAAGUAAAGUUAGUAAGGUUAUUAUUGUCACACCAAGCGUCUCACUUGGUGCUCGGUACAGAUAAGUAAAAGCCACUAGCAGGAAAAUCCUUUCCUAUAUAAAAAAUUCUACUAUUGCAUCCCAAAUAACAUGUUCUAGCUUUUUUCAAGAAAAUGAAUUGCGAAAUAACAACAUUGAUCAUGCUAUCUAUCAUG